CCUACGGGCGGCAGCAGUGGGGAAUAUUGGACAAUGGGCGAAAGCCUGAUCCAGCCAUGCCGCGUGUGUGAAGAAGGCCUUCGGGUUGUAAAGCACUUUCAGUGGGGAAGAAAGCCUUGGGUCUAAUACCCUCGAGGAAGGACAUCACCCACAGAAGAAGCACCGGCUAACUCCGUGCCAGCAGCCGCGGUAAUACGGAGGGUGCUAGCGUUAAUCGGAAUUACUGGGCGUAAAGCGCGCGUAGGCGGUCUGAUAAGCCGGUUGUGAAAGCCCCGGGCUCAACCUGGGAAGGCAGUCGGAACGGUCAGGCUAGAGUGCGGGAGAGGAAGGUAGAAUUCCCGGUGUAGCGGUGAAAUGCGUAGAGAUCGGGAGGAAUACCAGUGGCGAAGGCGGCCUUCUGGACUGUAACUGACGCUGAGGUGCGAAAGCGUGGGUAGCAAACAGGAUUAGAUACCCUUGUAGUC
This 464-nucleotide ribosomal RNA is filed under the name Vreelandella stevensii. Its description in RNAcentral is "partial 16S ribosomal RNA". It matches the Rfam family "Bacterial small subunit ribosomal RNA", at positions 338 to 795 of the family's 1533-position model. Lineage: Bacteria; Pseudomonadati; Pseudomonadota; Gammaproteobacteria; Oceanospirillales; Halomonadaceae. The record is from RNAcentral.